AUGAAAGUGUAUUCCACUUCAAGAAGAUGUGAGGGAAGAAGAAAGCAACCACCUAGUACAGUAUCAUGUUUGGGAGAAAGAAGAAAGGGAAUAGGCUCAAGACUUCUUUUCUUUCCCAGAGUCCUGCAGGAAAGUCAGAAGUCCAACUGGUUGGAUUUACACUGUUUAGUUGGAGGCCACCAUGACCUGGAAGAAUAUUUACACAAGCCAAUGUCAGGCCUCUGAGCUGGAGCUAAGCCAGUGUGGCCCUUGGGACCUGCACGUAUACAUCCAGAUGGCCUGCAGGAACCAAGAAGUUUCUUUUGGGAAACCACAAAAGAAGUGAAACAGCCAGUUUCUGCCUUAACUGAUUAACCAACCUUACGACAUUCCACCAUUAUGACUUCUUCCUGCCCUACCCUAACUGAUCAGUCGACCUUAUGACAUUCUUCUCCUGGACAAUGGAUCUCAUGAUCUCCCCACCAUGCACCUUGUGAUCCCCUCCCCUGCUGACAACAGAUAACCACCUCCAACGGUAACUUUCCAUGGCCUACCCAAGUCCUAUAAAGCUACCCCUCUCCUAUCUCCCUUUGCUGACUCUCUUUUUGGACUCAGCCCACUUGCACCCUAGUGAAUAAACAGUCUUGUUGCUUACACAAAGCCUGUUUAGGUGGUCUUCUAUACGGACACGCGUGACAACCAAUGGCCUUAGAAAGAUGAUGACUUCUUUCCUAGCAAAUUGAAUCCCAUUUGAGAUUAUAAAGGUGGAGCUAUCUCAUGCUCUUCUGCAGAGCAGAUGUGCCAUAUUCCAGAGUAAAGAAGACAAUGUGUCUGCAGAGAGGACAAGUGAAGCUUUGCCAGUCGUCUAUGUAAGGACAGAGUUUCCAAAUCUCAGGGUUCCUGAAACGUGCCACUGAUGUGUCGCUUCUGGGUCAAAACGUGUAAAAGUGGUGUGCCUUCUCCAUAGCUUCCUUUUGCUCUCGUUAGCUGAAUCGAGGGAAUGCCAGCAACCUCAGAGACAGUGGCCUGACCAGAUGGGAGAAGCCUGAGUCCCUGAAUUACCCCGCGGGAGGCUGCCUGACCACCAAGGCUGCCACUGUGCUGCACUGUGAGUGAGCAAAGAAUUUUCACUGGCUUAAGCCACUUAGAAUUCAGGAAUCAUCUGAUAUAGCAUCUCACGUUACCUUAAAUAAUACAAGCUGUGUUGGGAAAAUAGUAUUUAUUAAUUGCCUUUUAUAUUCCCAACAUUGUACUAGGCAAUUUUACAUGUGUUAUCUCAUUUAACUGUAAAGCAACCUUGAAAUUUAGUUGUUAUUUUAAUUUUACAGAUGAAGGACCUGAAACUUAGAAGGGUUACAUGUUUGUUUGUUUGUUUUUUUCUCCUCGCAAGAUUACACAGCUAACGAAAUAAGGUAGGAAUGAAACCUGGUCUCCCUGGCUCCAGAAAUUAUGCUGCCCUGCCUUCUAGAAGCUAAUUAUUUCAUUAAAAAUUGUUUAAAUAGGCCAGGUGCGGUGGCUCACGCUUGUAAUUCCAGCACUUUGGGAGGUCAAGGCAGGUGGAUCAUGAGGUCAGGAGUUUGAGACCAGCCUGACCAAUAUGGUGAAACCCCAUCUCUACUAAAAAUACAAAAAUUCGCCGGGUGUGGUGGCACAUGCCUGUAGUCCUAGCUACUCAGGAGGCUGAGGCAGAAAAAUCACUUGAAACCGGCAGGCGGGAAUUGCAGUGAACUGAGAUUGCGCCACUGCACUCCAGCCUGGGCGACAGAGUAAGACUCCAUCUCAAACAAAAAAAAAAAAAGAAAAAAGAAAAAAAGAAGAAAAAAAUGUUUAAAUAAAUCUGGCUCACUUCCAGAAUGCCAGGAAUGGUUGAAAACAAUGCCAAUGAUCUCCAGCAUUCACACUGAUUCCCUUCUUGAGAUGUGUCCUGAUCUGUUACUCCUUGCUUCUUAGGCAUUUAUCACUGACCCUUGGCUCCAGAUACCAGCCUUAAUUCCUAUCUGGGACUUUGAUACUUUCCUGAUGGGUUAGAAAUUGUCUUCUAGGUCUGUUCUGUGGUCCUAGCCUUCUGGCUAUGGACAUAAAGAGCAAUAAAUGUAGGAAAGCCCCACAUUUCACUCGGGCAUUCUAAGCCCUGUAUUCACCAAGACAACUCUAUUUCACCUUCUUUCCCACUUGGGAGAGAGAGUGAGGCUGAUAUUAUGAAAGCAUUUCCAAGCUAUUUUACAUUGCCUGUUGUGCAGUGCAGUGCCAGACUCUUAAAAAAAUGCAAUAUAAAAUUUUAAGCCCAGUAGUAAAGUGUAAGUUGCCACAUAAUAGAACACUUAAAUUAUUGAGGGGAUAGCAUCAUCCUGAGAUUUCUCAAAGGAGUACUUGUUGAAGAGCUAUGUCUGCUCAGUGCAACCCUUGAAAGCAAUAAUGUGGUCUAAAGUCUGUAUUUUUCAAGAACUAAAAGAGAAAAUGUUUUGUUUUGCUAAACUGGCAUGUGCAUUUUCGUCUCCUCUACCAGACUGAGUGCUCCUCCACCAGACUGAGUGCUCCUCCAGGUGUGUCAAGACUUCCUGUACUUUUGUCUCUCAAUGCACAUGCAGACUGCUGGUGCACAUGCCCUAAAAUGCUCAUAAAUUCCUGUGGCUCCUUUGAGAAUGCACUACCCUUCCCUAAAGACACCAAUGAGAUAAAUGAAGAUCAUAAAACAAAACACAUAUUCUGUUGGAAUUAAGUAUUCAGAAUAACUCCCAAAUGAAUAAUGUCAUUAUCCAAAUUAGAUUCAUUGUGCAUCUGUAAUGUGCAAAGUUCCAAGAUAUGUGUUAAGAGUUGUAAGUGCAUAGAACUCAAAGUAGGGGACUUCAAGAAGAUUAUAUUACUGACAAUGAGAUAGAUUACAAAUAGAGAAUGUAAAACUUCACAUAAGCAUAAUUUAGAUGUAAUAAAGAGGUAUUAUACAAAACAGCUUGCAUAUGGACUUUUAAAUUUUUGGAAAUUUUAUGACACAUAAUUGAUGUACAAAGCUUUGGGGUAUAUGUGAUAAAUUAAUACAUUAAUAUAAUUUGUACAGGUCAAAUCAGUGUAACUGGGAACUCCACCACCUUAAAUUUUUGUCUCUUCUUUAUGCUAUUAAUAGAAACACUUGAAUUACUCUCUUUGAGCUAUUUUUUUAAAAAUUAUACUUUAAGUUCUAGGGUACAUGUGCACAACAUGCAGGUUUGUCAAAUAUGUAUACAUGUGCCAUGUUGCUGUGCUGCACCCAUUAACUCAUCAUUUACAUUAGGUAUAUCUCCUAAUGCUAGCCCUCCCCCCUCCCCCUACCCCACAAUAGGCACCAGUGUGUGAUGUUCCCCUUCCUGUGUCCAAGUGAUCUCAUUUUUCAAUUCCCACUUAUGAGUGAGAACAUGCAGUGUUUGGUUUUCUGUUCUUGCAAUAGUUUGCUGAGAAUGAUGGUUUCCAGCUGCAUCCAUGUCCCUACAAAGGACAUGAACUCAUCCUUUUUUAUGGCUGCAUAGUAUUCCAUGGUGUAUAUGUGCCACAUUUUCUUAAUCAAGUCAGUCAUUGAUGGACAUUUGCAUUGAUUCCAAGUUUCAAGUCUUUGCUAUUAUGAAUAGUGUCACAAUAAACAUAUGUGUACAUCUGUGUUUAUAGCAGCAUGAUUUAUAAUCCUUUGGGUGUAUACCCAAUAAUGGGAUGGCUGGGUCAAAUGGUAUUUCUAGUUCUAGAUCCUUGAGGGAUCUCCACACUGUUUUCCACAAUGGUUGAACUAGCUUACAGUUCCACCAACACUGUAAAAGUAUUCCUAUUUCUCCACAUCCUCUCCAGCACCUGAUGUUUCCUGACUUUUUAAUGAUCGCCAUUCUAACUGGUGUGAGAUGGUAUCUCAUUGUGGUUUUGAUUUGCAUUUCUCUGAUGGUGAGUGAUGAUGAGCAUUUUUUCAUGUGUCUGUUGGCUUCAUAAAUGUCUUCUUUUGAGAAGUGUCUGUUCAUAUCCUUUGCCCACUUUUUGAUGGGGUUGUUUUUUUUUUUUUUCUUGUAAAUUUGUUUGAGUUCUUUGUAGGUUCCAGAUAUUAGCCCUUUGUCAGAUGAGUAGGUUACAAAAAUUUCCUCCCAUUCUGUAGGUUGCCUGUUCACUCUGAUGGUAGUUUCUUUUGCUGUGCAGAAGCUCUUUAGUUUAAUUAGAUCCCAUUUGUCAAUUUUGGCUUUUGUUGCCAUUGCUUUUGGUGUUUUAGACAUGAAGUCCUUGCCCAUGCCUAUGUCCUGAAUAGUAUUGCCUAGGUUUUCUUCUAGGGUUUUGAUAGUUUUAGGUCUAACAUUUAAGUCUCUAAUCCAUCGUGAAUUAAUUUUUGUAUAAGGAGUAAGGAAAGGAUCCAGUUUUAGCUUUCUACUUAUGACUAGUCAGUUUUCCCAGCACCAUUUAUUAAAUAGGGAAUCCUUUCCCCAUUUCUUGUUUUUGUCAGGUUUGUCAAAGACCAAAUGGAUGUAGAUGUGUGGUAUGAUUUCUGAGGGCUCUGUUCUGUUCCGUUGGUCUAUAUGUCUGUUUUGGUACCAGUACCAUGCUGUUUUGGUUACUGUAGCCUUGUAGUAUAGUUUGAAGUCAGGUAGUGUGAUGCCUCCAGCUUUGUUCUUUUGACUUAGGAUUGUCUUGGCAAUGAGGGCUCUUUUUUGGUUCCAUAUGAACUUUAAAGUAGUUUUUUCCAAUUCUGUGAAGAAAGUCAUUGGUAGCUUAAUGGGGAUGGCAUUGAAUCUAUAAAUUACCUUGGACAGUAUGGCCAUUUUCACGAUAUUGAGUCUUCCUAUCCAUGAGCAUGGAAUGUUCUUCCAUUUGUUUGUGUCCUCUUUUAUGUCAUUGAGAAGUGGUUUGUAGUUCUCCUUGAAGAGGUCCUUC
Molecule: long non-coding RNA, 4851 nt
Organism: Papio anubis (olive baboon)
Lineage: Eukaryota; Metazoa; Chordata; Mammalia; Primates; Cercopithecidae
Source: Ensembl